CCUACGGGCGGCAGCAGUGGGGAAUAUUGCACAAUGGCGGAAACCCUGAUGCAGCGAAGCCGCGUGAGUGAGGAAGUAUUUCGGUAUGUAAAGCUCUAUCAGCAGGGAAGAAAAUGACGGUACCUGACUAAGAAGCCCCGGCUAACUACGUGCAAGAAGCCGCGGUAAUACGUCGGGGGCAAGCGUUAUCCGGAUUUACUGGGUGUAAAGGGAGGGUAGUCGGUUAAUCAAGUCAGAAGGGAAAGCCCAUGGCUUAACCAUGGUACUGCUCUGGAAACUGUAGGGCUUGAGUGCGGGAGGGGCAUGCGGAAUGCCUAGUGUAGCGGUGAAAUGCGUAGAUAUUAGGAGGAACACCGGCGGCGAAGGCGGCCUGCUGGAGCGUAACUGACGUUGAGGCUCGAAAGCGUGGGGAGCAAACAGGAUUAGAUACCCGGGUAGUC
This 440-nucleotide ribosomal RNA is filed under the name uncultured bacterium. RNAcentral describes it as "partial 16S ribosomal RNA". It matches the Rfam family "Bacterial small subunit ribosomal RNA", at positions 338 to 795 of the family's 1533-position model. The record is from RNAcentral.